CGCGUAACGACCGCGAACAAGGUUAAUGGCAAGGAACGCCCGUCGGGGCAAACAUUACCAGAACCAGGAGGGGGCGACCAGGGGUUUCUCCACAAACCCUAAUUCUCACAAAAUCCUUCAAAUUGAAGCUCAAAUCAAGCCCGAAUCGUCUGCAUGAUUACAAAUUCGUGAUCUCCAUUGAAAGGGGAGUCAUAAGUUUGACUCUUGACGAGCUAGGUGAAGCUUGGAGGAGAAGAUCAAACGGGAUAAAGGCACGAAUAAGACUUGCUUGGAUGAAAGGUAAGUAAAACUUACACCCACUUGUAGUAUAUGUGUUUAUUUCAUAACGAUGAAUACAAUAAAGGAUUUGGUUUGAAUCAUGGGUUCCGACCCAAAACGAAAUGGGUCAGAACCAACAAAAAUGGUUUAAACCAUGAUUAAUGGUGAAAAAGGCAAAAUGGUAAAUUAGUCACGAAUUGGUUAAGAAUUAGUGAGUUUUUCUUAAAGUUACCAUAUAGCGUAACUAGUAAUGGAAAAUGGGUAAAAAAUGGAAAUUUAGUCAAGUAUCGGCUAAAGUAAAAUCAGUUUCAAAGGACACCCAUAGCGUGAGCCGAAUGAGUUUAAAAAAAUAAAAUAAAAUAAUAUAAUAUAUAUAUAUAUAUGUUUAUAUAAGAAAUUGACUUUAGAAAGAAAGGGAUCUAGUGAGAAAAUCCGAAAUGGGUCGGAUAUGUGAUUGGUAAUUAAAAACCCAUGUUUUGUUACAUAUGAAAAUGUUGGGUUAUAUAGGUCGAACGGGUCAAAUGGUGGGAACAACGCCAUUUGACAAUAUCAACUAAUGUGGAU
Long non-coding RNA from Helianthus annuus (common sunflower), 822 nucleotides. RefSeq lists it as uncharacterized. NCBI's taxonomy places the organism in Eukaryota, Viridiplantae, Streptophyta, Magnoliopsida, Asterales, Asteraceae. The transcript is spliced from 3 exons. The record is from RefSeq and is a predicted model, not a curated record.